Long non-coding RNA from Eptesicus fuscus (big brown bat), 637 nucleotides. RefSeq lists it as uncharacterized. The transcript has 5 exons. Lineage: Eukaryota; Metazoa; Chordata; Mammalia; Chiroptera; Vespertilionidae. The record is from RefSeq and is a predicted model, not a curated record.
UCCAAAGCCAUCAGCCUCCCUACCCAUCCCCCACCUGGGUGGCAAGAAAAGGUGAGGUUUGGUGCAUCGUCCAAGGAGCAGGUCUGGACAGCUAGCUGUUAUACUUGGCUCAUGCCAGCAAAAAAAAAAAAAAAAAAAAAGGAAUUUAUGGACUGCCCUGCAGAAUGUCCCAGUUCUUCCAGGCCAAGCUCCAGGAAACGAGAAACAUGCCAUCACGUUCAGCAAACGAGUGAGAGAAACUGCAACCAGAUGGGCCACCAAAGGCGGAGCAUCUGGGGGAGGACAGCCAACCAGCGGACAGAAAGGGGCCUCGCUCGGUGACACCGGCGGACGUGGCCACGCUGGACACUUCACAUCCGUGGAAUUCUGCAGUGUGGGUCCUUCCCUCGGCGCCACGGUCGAGGUCCGUCUCUGUUGUGGAUCCGUGCUUUGCUCCUUCCUGACCUUCAGUCCUGCUGCCACCAUAGGACGAGGACUGGGUGGUGUCAUGCUCCCUGCCGGCACCUCACAGGAGCGUCGGUGGAGGGUUAGCGACUGCUCCUUUAGGUCUUUCAUCCCUAACCCCUGUCCCCAAAAAUCGUGGUGAUGGUUGAAGCCUAGUGCAUUUCAUCCAUCGAAAUAAAAUGAUUCAAUUCUU